This 829-nucleotide ribosomal RNA is filed under the name uncultured bacterium. RNAcentral's name for it is "bacterial SSU rRNA". It matches the Rfam family "Bacterial small subunit ribosomal RNA", at positions 60 to 883 of the family's 1533-position model. The record is from RNAcentral.
AGUCGAACGGCAGCACGGAGAGCUUGCUCUCUGGUGGCGAGUGGCGAACGGGUGAGUAAUAUAUCGGAACGUGUCCAAUAAUGGGGGAUAACGAGUCGAAAGAUUCGCUAAUACCGCAUACGCCCUACGGGGGAAAGCAGGGGAUCGUAAGACCUUGCGUUAAUGGAGCGGCCGAUAUCUGAUUAGCUUGUUGGUGAGGUAAAGGCUCACCAAGGCGACGAUCAGUAGCUGGUUUGAGAGAACGACCAGCCACACUGGAACUGAGACACGGUCCAGACUCCUACGGGAGGCAGCAGUGGGGAAUUUUGGACAAUGGGGGCAACCCUGAUCCAGCCAUUCCGCGUGAGUGAAGAAGGCCUUCGGGUUGUAAAGCUCUUUCGCAAGGGAAGAAAACUUAUGAUCGAAUAAAUCAUGAGGUUGACGGUACCUUGAUAAGAAGCACCGGCUAACUACGUGCCAGCAGCCGCGGUAAUACGUAGGGUGCGAGCGUUAAUCGGAAUUACUGGGCGUAAAGCGUGCGCAGGCGGUUUUGUAAGUCGGAUGUGAAAUCCCCGGGCUCAACCUGGGAACUGCGUUCGAAACUGCAAGGCUAGAGUGUGUCAGAGGGGGGUAGAAUUCCACGUGUAGCAGUGAAAUGCGUAGAGAUGUGGAGGAAUACCAAUGGCGAAAGCAGCCCCCUGGGAUAACACUGACGCUCAUGCACGAAAGCGUGGGGAGCAAACAGGAUUAGAUACCCUGGUAGUCCACGCCCUAAACGAUGUCAACUAGUUGUUGGUAGAGUAAAUCUAUGAGUAACGUAGCUACGCGUGAAGUUGACGCCUGGGAGUAC